AACAAUUGGGACCAGGAUCAAUGGCCUGGUCCCAACCAACUUGAACAUUAAGACUCCUUGAACAAUACAUUCCAACUAUUUUUCUUUCUUUUUAUUUGUUUUUCUUUUGAGGGUUAGUAUAGGCCUGUGAAAUAGGUCAGAAUAACCCAUCUCAGUUCUCAUUGUCCAAGGUCCAAAUUUUAUCUGACUUUAGGUCAUUUCAGCCCAUUCGACUAGUUGGACUAGACUGGACCAUGGUACCACUGGCACCCUAUUAUUGUUAGCCCAUAAUUUUUAUUUUUUUAUUUUUUAUUUUAAAGACUUUCGAUAUUUUAGAAGAAAGGUUCAAUCAAUCAAUCCUCUUAUCUUUAUAUCUCAAACAGAGCAGAAAAAUUUGUAUGAAACGGGAAUAGCACUGUUUUGCUAUUUCAAGCCAAUCAUAAUCUGUCAUGUAAAAAAAUUAUCAUACGUGACAUAUUAUAAUUGACUAGGAUAGCAAAAUAAUCUAUCCCAGUUUCAUAUAAGUGUUUCUCCAAACCGAGAGAUUAUGCAUUGAGAUCCUAGUGGGAGCAAUGAAUCUGGAACCUUUGGAACAUUUCAUGUAUGAGGAGACGAGACGUUUUGAAAGUAAUGUUUGAUGAAUUACAUAUUAAUCAAUCUUCGACUUGCGUGCAGGUCUGAGGUUAUGGUUAAAAAAGCUUGGUCUAAAAUAAGUCACUUUCUCUUUGUCAUUUGCACUAGUGUCACUCAGAGAAUCUCAUAAUGAUAUCUUGAACUCAGAUUUCAUUAAAAAUAAGAGAAAGUUACUUCUUCUUUUUCGAGCAAACCAAAGUGGUAAUACUCUUACAAGACCACCUAAAAUUGAUUCGGCUCUAUACUCUCUCCCUUCUCCCACCAUUUUCCUUGAAGAUUAAAGCUCAA
Molecule: long non-coding RNA, 900 nt
Filed under: Prunus persica (peach)
Lineage: Eukaryota; Viridiplantae; Streptophyta; Magnoliopsida; Rosales; Rosaceae
Description: long non-coding RNA (PPER_LNC005619)
Source: RNAcentral